This is a small nucleolar RNA of Megalops cyprinoides (Indo-Pacific tarpon), 71 nucleotides long. RefSeq annotates it as small nucleolar RNA SNORD63. The transcript has a single exon. The record is from RefSeq and is a predicted model, not a curated record. Lineage: Eukaryota; Metazoa; Chordata; Actinopteri; Elopiformes; Megalopidae.
GUGCUGUGAUGCUUUUAUCAACACAUCAUUCUGACCCAGCUGUGGGGAAAGAUCUCAUGUAACUGAGCACA